Molecule: ribosomal RNA, 603 nt
Filed under: uncultured bacterium
Lineage: Bacteria
Description: bacterial SSU rRNA
Rfam family: Bacterial small subunit ribosomal RNA
Source: RNAcentral
GGCUUCGGCCUGGCGGCGAGUGGCGAACGGGUGAGUAAUAUAUCGGAACGUACCCAAGAGUGGGGGAUAACGUAGCGAAAGUUACGCUAAUACCGCGGGCGAUCCACGGAUGAAAGCAGGGGACCUUCGGGCCUUGUGCUCCUGGAGCGGCCGAUAUCUGAUUAGCUAGUUGGUGAGGUAAAGGCUCACCAAGGCAACGAUCAGUAGCUGGUCUGAGAGGACGACCAGCCACACUGGAACUGAGACACGGUCCAGACUCCUACGGGAGGCAGCAGUGGGGAAUUUUGGACAAUGGGGGCAACCCUGAUCCAGCAAUGCCGCGUGAGUGAAGAAGGCCUUCGGGUUGUAAAGCUCUUUUGUCAGGGAAGAAAAGGUCGUGGCUAAUAUCCACGACUGCUGACGGUACCUGAAGAAUAAGCACCGGCUAACUACGUGCCAGCAGCCGCGGUAAUACGUAGGGUGCAAGCGUUAAUCGGAAUUACUGGGCGUAAAGCGUGCGCAGGCGGUUUCGUAAGUCUGUCGUUGAAAUCCCCGGGCUUAACCUGGGAAUUGGCGAUGGAGACUGCGAGGCUAGAGUUUGGCAGAGGGGGGUAGAAUUCCACG